AACGUAGGUGGCGAGCGUUAUCCGGAUUUACUGGGCGUAAAGCGCUUGUAGGUGGUUUUGUAAGUUGGGCGUGAAAUCUCCGGGCUUAACUCGGAACGGUCAGGUGAUACUGCUUUGCUAGAGUGCGGAAGGGGCAAUCGGAAUUCUUGGUGUAGCGGUGAAAUGCGUAGAUAUCAAGAGGAACACCUGAGGUGAAGACGGGUUGCUGGGCCGACACUGACGCUGACAGCGCGAAAGCCAGGGGAGCAAACGGG
This 254-nucleotide ribosomal RNA is filed under the name uncultured bacterium. RNAcentral describes it as "partial 16S ribosomal RNA". It matches the Rfam family "Bacterial small subunit ribosomal RNA", at positions 524 to 776 of the family's 1533-position model. The record is from RNAcentral.